UGUGUGAUGAAGGCCUUCGGGUUGUAAGCACUUUUGUCAGGGAGGAAGGGGUGAUGUUUAAUAUGCACCAUUCUUGACGGUACCUUCCCAGAAAGCACCGGCUAACUCCGUGCCAGCAGCCGCGGUAAU
This 129-nucleotide ribosomal RNA is filed under the name uncultured bacterium. RNAcentral describes it as "partial 16S ribosomal RNA". It matches the Rfam family "Bacterial small subunit ribosomal RNA", at positions 402 to 524 of the family's 1533-position model. The record is from RNAcentral.